UGGGGAAUAUUGGACAAUGGGCGCAAGCCUGAUCCAGCCAUGCCGCGUGAGUGAUGAAGGCCUUAGGGUUGUAAAGCUCUUUUAUCCGGGACGAUAAUGACGGUACCGGAGGAAUAAGCCCCGGCUAACUUCGUGCCAGCAGCCGCGGUAAUACGAAGGGGCGUAGCGUUGCUCGGAAUCACUGGGCGUAAAGGGCGCGUAGGCGGCGUUUUAAGUCGGGGGUGAAAGCCUGUGGCUCAACCACAGAAUGGCCUUCGAUACUGGGACGCUUGAGUAUGGUAGAGGUUGGUGGAACUGCGAGUGUAGAGGUGAAAUUCGUAGAUAUUCGCAAGAACACCGGUGGCGAAGGCGGCCAACUGGACCAUUUACUGACGCUGAGGCGCGAAAGCGUGGGGAGCAAAACA
Molecule: ribosomal RNA, 404 nt
Filed under: uncultured Methylobacterium sp.
Lineage: Bacteria; Pseudomonadati; Pseudomonadota; Alphaproteobacteria; Hyphomicrobiales; Methylobacteriaceae
Description: bacterial SSU rRNA
Rfam family: Bacterial small subunit ribosomal RNA
Source: RNAcentral